This 492-nucleotide ribosomal RNA is filed under the name uncultured bacterium. Its description in RNAcentral is "partial 16S ribosomal RNA". It matches the Rfam family "Bacterial small subunit ribosomal RNA", at positions 31 to 507 of the family's 1533-position model. The record is from RNAcentral.
AGGGAAAGGGGGGGGGAGGCCUAACACAUGCAAGUCGAACGGCAGCACAGUAAGAGCUUGCUCUUACGGGUGGCGAGUGGCGGACGGGUGAGGAAUACAUCGGAAUCUACUUUUUCGUGGGGGAUAACGUAGGGAAACUUACGCUAAUACCGCAUACGACCUACGGGUGAAAGCAGGGGAUCUUCGGACCUUGCGCGAUUGAAUGAGCCGAUGUCGGAUUAGCUAGUUGGCGGGGUAAAGGCCCACCAAGGCGACGAUCCGUAGCUGGUCUGAGAGGAUGAUCAGCCACACUGGAACUGAGACACGGUCCAGACUCCUACGGGAGGCAGCAGUGGGGAAUAUUGGACAAUGGGCGCAAGCCUGAUCCAGCCAUACCGCGUGGGUGAAGAAGGCCUUCGGGUUGUAAAGCCCUUUUGUUGGGAAAGAAAAGCAGCAGGUUAAUACCCCGCUGUUCUGACGGUACCCAAAGAAUAAGCACCGGCUAACUUCGUG